RNAcentral lists this ribosomal RNA (860 nucleotides) under Bacillus subtilis. Its description in RNAcentral is "bacterial SSU rRNA". It matches the Rfam family "Bacterial small subunit ribosomal RNA", at positions 87 to 931 of the family's 1533-position model. Lineage: Bacteria; Bacillati; Bacillota; Bacilli; Caryophanales; Bacillaceae. The record is from RNAcentral.
CUAUGUUAGCGGCGGACGGGUGAGUAACACGUGGGUAACCUGCCUGUAAGACUGGGAUAACUCCGGGAAACCGGGGCUAAUACCGGAUGGUUGUUUGAACCGCAUGGUUCAGACAUAAAAGGUGGCUUCGGCUACCACUUACAGAUGGACCCGCGGCGCAUUAGCUAGUUGGUGAGGUAACGGCUCACCAAGGCGACGAUGCGUAGCCGACCUGAGAGGGUGAUCGGCCACACUGGGACUGAGACACGGCCCAGACUCCUACGGGAGGCAGCAGUAGGGAAUCUUCCGCAAUGGACGAAAGUCUGACGGAGCAACGCCGCGUGAGUGAUGAAGGUUUUCGGAUCGUAAAGCUCUGUUGUUAGGGAAGAACAAGUGCCGUUCAAAUAGGGCGGCACCUUGACGGUACCUAACCAGAAAGCCACGGCUAACUACGUGCCAGCAGCCGCGGUAAUACGUAGGUGGCAAGCGUUGUCCGGAAUUAUUGGGCGUAAAGGGCUCGCAGGCGGUUUCUUAAGUCUGAUGUGAAAGCCCCCGGCUCAACCGGGGAGGGUCAUUGGAAACUGGGGAACUUGAGUGCAGAAGAGGAGAGUGGAAUUCCACGUGUAGCGGUGAAAUGCGUAGAGAUGUGGAGGAACACCAGUGGCGAAGGCGACUCUCUGGUCUGUAACUGACGCUGAGGAGCGAAAGCGUGGGGAGCGAACAGGAUUAGAUACCCUGGUAGUCCACGCCGUAACGAUGAGUGCUAAGUGUUAGGGGGUUUCCGCCCCUUAGUGCUGCAGCUAACGCAUUAAGCACUCCGCCUGGGGAGUACGGUCGCAAGACUGAAACUCAAAGGAAUUGACGGGGGGCCCGCACAAGCG